RNAcentral lists this long non-coding RNA (3294 nucleotides) under Chrysemys picta bellii (western painted turtle). RNAcentral describes it as "lncRNA (ENSCPBG00000025744.1)". Lineage: Eukaryota; Metazoa; Chordata; Testudines; Emydidae. The record is from RNAcentral.
UUUCUUUGUGGUUUGUUUUGCACUGUUUUAACCCAGUGUCUGACCCAUGUACAUGGACAACACUAGGCCUGUACAUAUAGCUUUGGUCAGGUACAAAUCACAGGGCCCUGCUCCCAGCUACGUAGUUCUCCAGGAAAGCUAUAGAUCAGCACUAUAACUGGUUAUGACCUGAGCCCUUCAGCUCUCCUUGAAGUUUUAUGAUCAUUCCACAUAUACUGGAUCACUAAGGUUUGCAGUGAACUCGCCAAUCAAAGCCAGUGGAACUGGAAUUAAUUUAGUUCUUGGUGCCUCCCCCUCCCCCCCCAUUAAUAGUGUCGUGUAGCCGUGUUAAAUCAAGGCAGGGAUCUGUAUUACUCAGGAACAUACUUACUGUGGAGAAAAAAACCAAAUCACACUCCAUGCUUUCCUUCUCUGCUCUCCUCUUCGAAACCCACUGGAGAUGUGGGUUGUUUGUUGCCCUUAUGCAAGCGCUCAGGCAUUUCUUUCCCGGGGGUGCUUGGAUAGUGAAGGUAUCACCCACUCCAGUCACUGGCUUAUCAGCCCGGGGAGAUGGAAAGGGAGCAGCCUGUGGAAUGUCAGGCCCUGCUGGCUGCACGCCCAUAUACAGUUCAGCAACCUCGGCGAGAACAGCCCCGGCUGCUGCUGCGGCUGCCACUCGAGUUAUUUCUUCUGGGCUCAGCGGCAGCCUGCAGAGCUCUGCAAAGGGGAGUGGUUUCUUCGCUCCCUCCCUCCCAAGGGGGCGGGGGAGUCCUGCCCCAGCCCCAGCGAUGGGGGCAGGACCAGCCCGGGGCCGGUUUAAUUGAAAGCAAACCGCGGAGACUCCACGCGAGGCGAGAGCGCUGGCAGAAUGCCCCGGGCUGGCGCCCCCGCUCCCAGCUGUCAGUGAAGGAGCGAAGCUUCCCGCGGCCGGGAUGUUCAGCUGGCACAAGAGCUUCACCCUGGGAGCUCCCUGGAGACAAGCAGGCAAGAAGAACCCACCAUCCAAGGGCAAGGUAGUGCUGACCAACAUGAAGAUACUGAGCAAUGAAGAGAGUCAAACCCAGGGGUUGACAGGAGAGCCACCUGCAGCCAUGGACUUUGCAGCGGAAUCCAGGCUUCCCAAAGUCGACAUCCCAUUAGAAUGCCAGGGAAAUCUGGGCACAAGAGACAUCUCUUCAAAACCAGACUAUGUGGCCACCCUGUCUGACCUCAGCACCUUAGAGUCCAAGUGCCAGCUUCACAGAUUCUCCAAAUUUGAAUCAGAGGAUUCUGGGGUUGAAUUGCCAAGUGGAGCCAAUUCUCCAUCUACACCAACAGGCUCCGAGAAGAGCUUUGUGCUUCACACCAGAGACUCGUCUUGUGACUCCGGAGUGCUCAGCAUCUCUUCUUCUCCGGGAAUUGACCAUGUCAUAAUGAGAAAGUGUAAAGACAUCAGAGAAACCAGCCAGUGUGCUUCAGACAGUGAAAAGCAAGUUGAAUAUUACAGCCAGGCAGCAGAUGUGGUGCAGAUCCCUACAGCUUCCCUGGAAGAUUUCAGUGACUGUCAGGAGGGAGAAAGUCCUAAUAAACUUUUUGGCCAAAGUGAAGGACAAUAUUUGGAAGAGAAACCCAGGAAAGAGAUAGACCUUUCCAUUAAAGACACUCCUCCAGCUGCUGCCCACAUAGAAGAGCAAAGGCCAAUCAGCAACCGUUACAAAGAGACCUUUGGGAGGAUGCAAGAACUUCAGCUCCAUGGACAUCAGCUCAAAAAAUAUCCCACAAGCGACAGCCUGGAUGAGUACAUGGAUGAGUGCUGUCGAUUAAGUGAGGUGAACCAAGGGAACACCAAGGCUCUUGGCUCUGGCCUGGGGUAUCUGGAACACAUCUGUCAGCUGAUAGAGAAAAUCGGGCAGCUGCAGGAGCACAAUCUGCGACUCCAAAAGCAAGUGUGCAGUUUGCAGAAGGAGCAGAAGAUGAGCCAGAUAAAGGAGGAGUAUUUUCUGCAGCACUGUUCCUGUGGAGCUGCCAGCAUCUUGCUCAACUCGUACCAGGAGGUGAAGACAUUUUUUACUGGGAGGAGCAGACCACACAGUCUCUUGGUUCAGAGUGGAAACCAGUCCGACCUUUCAAUCAUCCCAGAAAGAGGAAGUGACACACACCUGGAAUCAGGAGAUAGACAGCUGGUGCUGGGGCUCAGGAAGACCUGGAGUAAAAGGAGCAAUGAGGAGAAUGACCUCAGAGAUGCCUAUAAUCUGACUGAUGGCCGAGCUUUCCUGCUAAAGGACCCAACUACGAAAAAGGAUGAAAGCCACGCUUGGGGCAGAAUGAGGGAUCUCAUGAAGAAGACCAGGCUGAGGAACCAGAGCAAGUUGGGACUGUCAUCGGCAGCUCUGAAGAGGUCCUGCCCACAGCUCUACAGGCCAGAGGUUAAGACUUCGGAUCGAAGGAAGAUGGAGAGGAACUCCAUGAUUGUUCUGGGGCAAAGCACAAAGAAUGAAAACAUCUGGCCUUUCUGAGCAUCUGAAUCCAAUGGACCAAGAGGUAAAUGAACUGGGGCGCUGCUGGACAUGAAAUUGAAAACCACGAGGCUACAUUGCGCAGACCAAGCUCUACAGCAGGAUCAGCAUCAAGGCAGCAGGGAGGGAGGAGAGAUAAAAGAAAGAUUUGCUGAAGGGCAGGGUGCUCAGCUGUACUAGAGUUUACUCUUGACAUGAAUGUAAAAGUGAACUUAAAACAAUGCUAUAUACCGGGAAUAUAGUUACCAUCUCAGCAAUAAUAACCAAGCAGAUUUGAUACAAUUUCAUAAACAAGCUACCUUAAGUCCUCCUGCUUGUGAAGUAUUAUUGAUCUCCUGGGCUUUAUUCAGCAGAAAGAGGCUAAACCCUCAUAGAACACCAGUACUUUAAGGAAAAACAAAGAUUGGGAGACUACAUGUAGUAGACACUGCUGGGUGUGGGCAGCAGUGCAAGACUUAAGGGAUUUUUUUAUAUCUCCACGUGUGGGUAUUACUAACAAGUCUGCACAUUUUAAAGGUCUCCACCCAGCAGUGAUUGGCUGGGGAGUUUUACUGAGGUCCCAUGCAAUGUCCAGCUCAAUCAAAGCCACCAGCCAAGAUUUUCUAAAGCUGGAUUUGUAAGUGCAAGGUUAGGUGCCAGUCUUGUGCGUGUGACCCCCUUUGCCAGUCUGGAGCUUCACUGACCUCAAUAGAUCCAGGGCCGGCUCCAGGCACCAGCCCACCAAGCAUGUGCUUGGGGCGGCACCUGGAGGGGGGCGGCGCGGCGUGGCGCGGCACUCCAGCCCGAGAUCGGGGCUGUGACUGGACUCGCCGCCCUCCCC